AUGCAUUCAGGGAUCUGGUGCUCCAUCACUCGCAUUCUCACAGUUAUCACAAAUUUCUCUGGGCUGUGCCAGCGAAGGACAGAAUGGGUGAGGAUCCCUGGUCACAGGCAUUCCAUUCACUGCCUGCUCAUCUGCCUCCCACCCCUGUCUGUUUCUUUUCUUGGAUUCUUCUCUUCUUGUGUUUUUUUCCCACUUAUCUCCUCACAGGAUAUGAGUAACAGCCUCCAAAGUCAAACUGAGUUACUCACUUCCUCCACAUGGGAUCACAGGUCCCCAAAGCACACAUUCUGCAGAAUCACACAAAUAUUUGCAUGCCUGCCCUACAGUAGGAAUGAGCUUUGGGAGAGCGACCCUGUGAGAUUUCUUGCAUUCCAUGUGUUCUAUCAGGUAAUAGAAGCAGAAGGAAAGUGGGUUUGGCUGUGCCCUCAGUUGGCCUCCUGUCAGCAGAAGCUAAACUUUCAAAAUGUUACUGAAAUACAUAGAUACAAGCUAGAGCAAUUAGACAUUCAGAGAUGGCCACUCUGCUUCGCUGGCUUGGAAGAUGGGGGCAAAAUGCUCAUUCCCAUGUCUCCACCCUACAAGGCCUGCAUGGAUGACCUCCAUUGUUGA
This 609-nucleotide long non-coding RNA is filed under the name Coturnix japonica (Japanese quail). Its description in RNAcentral is "lncRNA (ENSCJPG00005014201.1)". Lineage: Eukaryota; Metazoa; Chordata; Aves; Galliformes; Phasianidae. The record is from RNAcentral.